CCUACGGGAGGCAGCAGUGAGGAAUAUUGGUCAAUGGACGAGAGUCUGAACCAGCCAAGUCGCGUGAAGGAUGACUGCCCUAUGGGUUGUAAACUUCUUUUAUAUGGGAAUAAAAUGUUCCACGGGUGGGGUUUUGUAUUUACCUUAUGAAUAGGGAUCGGCGAACUCCGUGCCAGCAGCCGCGGUAAGAGGGAGGAUCCGAGCGUUAUCCGGAUUUAUUUGGUUUAAAGGGAGCGUAGGUGGCUUGGUAAGUCAGUUGUGAAAGUUUGCGGCUCAACCGUAAAAUUGCAGGUGAAACUGGCAGUCGUGAGUACAGUAGGGGUGGGGGGAAUGCGUGGUG
Molecule: ribosomal RNA, 340 nt
Filed under: uncultured bacterium
Lineage: Bacteria
Description: partial 16S ribosomal RNA
Rfam family: Bacterial small subunit ribosomal RNA
Source: RNAcentral